Molecule: ribosomal RNA, 523 nt
Filed under: uncultured bacterium
Lineage: Bacteria
Description: bacterial SSU rRNA
Rfam family: Bacterial small subunit ribosomal RNA
Source: RNAcentral
CUACGUGCCAGCAGCCGCGGUAAUACGUAGGGUGCGAGCGUUAAUCGGAAUUACUGGGCGUAAAGCGAGCGCAGACGGUUACUUAAGCAGGAUGUGAAAUCCCCGGGCUCAACCUGGGAACUGCGUUCUGAACUGGGUGACUAGAGUGUGUUAGAGGGAGGUAGAAUUCCACGUGUAGCAGUGAAAUGCGUAGAGAUGUGGAGGAAUACCGAUGGCGAAGGCAGCCUCCUGGGAUAACACUGACGUUCAUGCCCGAAAGCGUGGGUAGCAAACAGGAUUAGAUACCCUGGUAGUCCACGCCCUAAACGAUGUCGAUUAGCUGUUGGGCAGCAUGACUGCUUAGUAGCGAAGCUAACGCGUGAAAUCGACCGCCUGGGGAGUACGGUCGCAAGAUUAAAACUCAAAGGAAUUGACGGGGACCCGCACAAGCGGUGGAGCAUGUGGUUUAAUUCGAAGCAACGCGAAGAACCUUACCAAGUCUUGACAUCCUUUGACCACUCUAGAGAUAGAGCUUUCCCUUCGG